UCAAGCCUGAAACCAUAAGAGUACACUGAAAAGCCUUCCUCCUUUCCAUCGCAGCCAACAUGAGGAUGCUGGAAUUCAUGUGUCUGUUGAGGAUCCUGGCUCCUGUCCUGAAUGAUACUGCAUAUUCAGGGGAUGAUUCAUUCACUCGGAGCAGGAGGAAGGACUGUACCAGCUGUACCACCUCUCCGCUCUGAUUGACGGCAGUGAUGCUCCCACAGGGAAGCUGUGCCUCCAGGUUCAGCCAGCAAUUACAGAACAAACAAAGGAGAAGUGGAAUGGAGAAAUGAUUCACGGGAAUAGAAACCAAAAGAGAACCCGGAGAUGAUGCCAAGCCGAGCUGAAGGCAAAACUUUCAUUCGUUUCUGCUGAAAAUGUGCAGACAGCAUGGUGCAUCUCUUUGGUAACUAAGACAGACACAGCAAGGAAUGUUAAACGCACCUCCUCCUGGAGAAUUCUGCCAGCAAGGUCAGUGGAAUCGGGACUUCACCUUCGUUAUGUUUCUUUUGACUGUGGAACUGGUCUGAUUUUCCUUCCAGAUAACUUUUUUUUUUUUUUUUUUUUUUUUUUAAUGGGACCGUGGAACAAAAUAAAAUAAAAUAUACAGAAAGAGACAUACAAAUAAA
Tympanuchus pallidicinctus (lesser prairie-chicken) is the source of this 623-nucleotide long non-coding RNA. RefSeq lists it as uncharacterized. The transcript is spliced from 3 exons. The record is from RefSeq and is a predicted model, not a curated record. NCBI's taxonomy places the organism in Eukaryota, Metazoa, Chordata, Aves, Galliformes, Phasianidae.